AGAAUCAACGCUGGCGGCGCGCUUAACACAUGCAAGUCGCACGAGAAAGUGGAGCAAUCCAUGAGUAAAGUGGCGUACGGGUGAGUAACACGUGGAUCAUCUACCUCUUAGUGGGGAAUAACCCUGGGAAACCGGGGCUAAUACCGCAUAAGCCUGCAAAGGGAAAGCAGCAAUGCGCUGAGAGAGGAGUCCGCGGCCGAUUAGCUAGUUGGUAGGGUAAUGGCCUACCAAGGCAAUGAUCGGUAGCCGGCCUGAGAGGGCACACGGCCACACUGGCACUGAAACACGGGCCAGACUCCUACGGGAGGCAGCAGUGGGGAAUCUUGCACAAUGGAGGAAACUCUGAUGCAGCGACGCCGCGUGAGCGAUGAAGCCCUUCGGGGUGUAAAGCUCUUUCGACGGGAACGAUAAUGACGGUACCCGGAGAAGAAGCUGCGGCUAACUACGUGCCAGCAGCCGCGGUAAUACGUAGGCAGCAAGCGUUGUUCGGAAUUACUGGGCGUAAAGAGUGUGUAGGCGGUUCUCUAUGUUCGGUGUGAAAUCUCCCGGCUUAACUGGGAGGGUGCGCCGAAAACUGGAGGGCUUGAGUAUGGGAGAGGAAAGCGGAAUUCCUGGUGUAGCGGUGAAAUGCGUAGAUAUCAGGAGGAACACCUGCGGUGUAGACGGCUUUCUGGACCAUCACUGACGCUGAGACACGAAAGCGUGGGUAGCAAACAGGAUUAGAUACCCUGGUAGUCCACGCCCUAAACGAUGCAUACUUGGUGUGAGCCGUUCAUUCGGUUCGUGCCGGAGCUAACGCGUUAAGUAUGCCGCCUGGGGAGUACGGUCGCAAGGCUGAA
RNAcentral lists this ribosomal RNA (839 nucleotides) under uncultured bacterium. RNAcentral describes it as "bacterial SSU rRNA". It matches the Rfam family "Bacterial small subunit ribosomal RNA", at positions 26 to 898 of the family's 1533-position model. The record is from RNAcentral.